GACGAACGCUGGCGGCGUGCUUAACACAUGCAAGUCGAACGAGGUUCAAUCAAUCGCAAGAACGAGGACGACCUAGUGGCGAACGGGUGCGUAACACGUGAGGAACCUAUCCCAGUCUCU
This 120-nucleotide ribosomal RNA is filed under the name uncultured bacterium. Its description in RNAcentral is "partial 16S ribosomal RNA". It matches the Rfam family "Bacterial small subunit ribosomal RNA", at positions 28 to 139 of the family's 1533-position model. The record is from RNAcentral.